Molecule: ribosomal RNA, 187 nt
Filed under: uncultured Lactococcus sp.
Lineage: Bacteria; Bacillati; Bacillota; Bacilli; Lactobacillales; Streptococcaceae
Description: partial 16S ribosomal RNA
Rfam family: Bacterial small subunit ribosomal RNA
Source: RNAcentral
UAGGGAAUCUUCGGUAAUGGACGAAAGUCUGACCGAGCAACGCCGCGUGAGUGAAGAAGGUUUUCGGAUCGUAAAACUCUGUUGGUAGAGAAGAACGUUGGUGAGAGUGGAAAGCUCAUCAAGUGACGGUAACUACCCAGAAAGGGACGGCUAACUACGUGCCAGCAGCCGCGGUAAUACGUAGGUG